AAAAAUGUUGAUUCCCACAAAAAAAACUACCCUAUGCAAAAUAUCAGCUCAAUCGGACUCCAUUUACUAGUGUAGCACAGCAGUCAAAGUUUGACUUUUUUAAAAACCAAAAAAUCACCCAAAGGGGGAGUAAAGGAAAACGGGGUUUUCGAAUUUUUUUUUAUGUCAAAUGUCUUCCGAAUUGCAUGAAAUGUUAUCUCGAAAAAAAUGUUGUUCAAAAAUCGACACUCUGGGAACGUUUUUACGGAAUACGAGGCAAAACGUAUCAUAGGAUGCCAAGGAAAAUCGUCAUAUCGAUUUUUCAUACAGGACUUCCUGCGAAAUGUUGAUUUGCACGAUAAAAUACCCUCUGCAUAGUAUUAACUCAUACGGGCUUUAUUUACUAUUGUCACAGAUCUCCAAAUCUUAGUUUUCUGAAAAUCGAAAAAUCACCCAAGGGGGGAGUAAAGCAAAUUGGGAUUUUCAAAAAAAAAAAAAUGAUUCCAAAUGGCUUAGAAUUGCAUGAAACGUCGAGAUUUACUGUUAUCUCGAAACAAAUUUUUUGUCAAAAAUUGUCUUUUCGGCACUUGGUCGUUUUUGUCUGAAAAGUCGAAUGUCGAUUUUUGACAAAAAAUAAUUUUCGAGAUAACAGUAAAUAUGUAUAUGUUAGAGGCAAAAAAGAAAAUCAACUUUCUACACCAAAAGCGUUCAAGACAACUUUGCUUGCGUGUUGGUGUAUCAUGAAGUGCGAACAGAAGCAGAGUUGUCUCGUUCUCUUUUGUGUCGUGAUUUGUAGCACCUAACAACAAAAGAAUGCCGCGGGGGAAAUAAUUUCUGUAAGAUCAUAUGUGAACGAACGGUAACGAUUUAUUCAGUGAAUGGAUCAAUUGGCAAACACUGGCCUUGGCAUCUCCGGAGAGAUAUCAUCGAAUAUUUAGCGACGCUCACUUCGAGGAAGUUUAUAGUGCACCCACACGCAAUACAAUCCCAAGAGCUUCUACAGUUCUCUACAGCCAACUGCACUUCAAACAACAAGAAAAAAUUUCAGAUAAUCGAAAAAUCAGCAACAGAUUUUCCGUUCAAGAAAAUAUUUGCGUUUUCAAUUCCCUUGUUUCAAACAUUUGUUCACUUUCCUUAAAUACUUAACGGUAUGCCUACACUGCGAAUUCCUGAACUGGUACUUCUUGGUGUCUAUUUUGGGUGGUUAUCAUCUAAAAGUUCUGAACAUUUAAGAGCGAUUUUAUAAUUGCCAGAAUUAGGCGAUUUUAAUUGUGCCAUUGAAACAUACAAAUCAUGAUGAAGUUUCCUGUAGAAUGAAUGAAAGAUACCCUUAUUAUUAAUUUUUUUUUCAAUAAAAAAAAUCAAUUUAGACGCAUCCUUGUUUAUCCAAAUUUUAAUCGUAACACUGGCUGAAAAUUGUAAAAAAAUAUUUUUAGUAAUCAUUCAGAUAAUUUACAAAAUAUUCAAAACCGGUCCGAAAUGAACUCAGGUCUGGGCGUUUUCCUUGAACAGCAUUUUUGAAUAGCAUUUUGUCAACAUUUCAACCAGUAUCCUAAAUGAAUAUCCAUCACAAGACAGACAGGCUAGACUUGUACUCCGAAAAUCCAGAAUACCUCCGUUGAUAAUAUAAGAGCUGCAUCAUAGAGUUAUGUUGAUUUCCAGUACAAGGAGAACUGAAGUCGGGUAUUUCCAGCAUUUCAUCAAAACGUAUGCGGCAACAGUACAUGAAAAAAUUAAUGAAAUGAAUUGUGUGUAAAUUUUAUAUUUGAUAUGAUGUUUUUUCUUCUCGGUUUCAAAGCAGCAUCAUCCUAUUGUAAGUGUCCAACCUCUGGAACCUCCGGUUGAAUGGUUACAUAAUUUUUCCAGUUUAUGUUAUUUUCCCAAAAGCGUUCACGCUCACUAAGCACACUCACGACUCGUAGAUAAGCACCGAUUAAGGGGAUCAUUCGAUGGGUUUCUCACAAUGUUAUCUCUCACUCUCCAACAUCCUCCGCGUUCAAAAACACGCUUUCGCGGGUGAAGUUUAUGCCCGAUGUGGCCGAGCAAAAGCUAUACCCGCCCCCAUCAACUUAAAUUGAAGGUUCAUGCUGUAAUGUACGAUGUAAACAUUCCGAACAUGAUUUUCGAAUACGUUUUUGAAAAUGAAACAAUUGAUGAUUCUUUAUGAUCGAAGUAAAUCAAAUCGCCUGUACGAACUUAGUUUGGACUACCAGAAUGAAAGACUCAUCACCCCCUACAGUGGUUUUAUUGCCAGCGGAUGAGAGAAACAAGACUAUUGGUAUCUUAUAGAACAUCUACUGAGUUACCUGGUUAUAUGUGCAAUGUGUUUAGCAUAGCCUAAAUCGUAUUCAAAUACAGCGCGGACCCGAUUAUAUACAGUUUCUGAUUUCUUUUCACUGUAUAUAAUCGAAUCCUGUAUAAAAUCGAGUCAAAAAAAAUUUUUUAUUAAUUUUUUUUCCAUGUAUUUUUUGUUUUUUUUUUAAAUAUAAAAGAGGUAUUUGAUUUUACAUUCAUCCCCUUAAAGUCAGAAAACACUUUUCUCACAUGAAAAAAGAAAAUUUAUCCAGAUUCUCUCAGCCAUAUUUUUUUUCCGAACUGUUUAUAAUCGAGUCAAAAAUUGUAUAUAAUCGAAUCACAUAUAAUCGGGUCUGUAUAUAAUAAUGUCCAACCUGUAUAUGUAACAAGAAUUCAAUGUACAGUGAAUACCCGAAAAUUGAAUUUGUUAUUAACUAUAGCCGACACUCGUUACGAUGUCCGGAAUUCAACUUACGACGUAACCUCCGAAUGUUGGAAAGGUUAUUGCACAAAUUUAUAUGAAAUUAAUAUUUACGAAUAAAUAAACAGAACAGGUUGAAGGUCAAGUUAUAAUUAAGAAGCGGAUUCCAAUUCACACAUUCAUACGACAACUAAGUUCAUUCAAUAACACUAUUUCAAACCUAGGUCGGUUUGUGAGUCAGUUGGUGAGCUAUGUUAUGUCCUAUUGAUCGCGGAAAACAUUUAUUCACUCUUUAGUGUUUCGUCGUCAUGGCCCACGAUGGCCACGAAUCUGGCGCAUUUUUUAUCAUUUCAAGGUUGCAACACUUGUUACGCUUCAUAGUCGUUAUUCGUAACCGCGUGUUUGUUACGAAUCAACUCGACAUAUGACAAUUUUUAGACAAUUCAGAAACAAUUUGACUUAACGGAGUUCAGUGGAUUUAUAUUUAUUGACUAAAAUAGUUAUGCAAGCAUCCUGGUUAGAGGAUAUACGAUGCUUGCUUUAUAUGAUGGAUGUUGUGAUAUCACUUUUUGCGACCUGUCAUCACGCUAAUCAAAUGAAUGAACGUGUUGAGCCCCAUAUAUUUUUGUAGAGAUCAGUGUUUUACUAGAGACGAAUGACUGCAAAGUUUAUAGCUUCUUCAAUACAAAAAGUGAAAUAAAGAGCGUUUUAUGGGUGGCAAAAAUGAAACAAUAUUUACAUCACUCAUAACAUCACAUUGUCAUUGUCAUAACAUCACAAAUAUUAGGAAACCUAAAUUUUAACGCCCCCAUUAGGCAUCUGAGAAACUCUAACAUUCUCUACACAGAUUACAGAAGAACAAAUUACGGUGAAUAUAGUCCUAUCAAUCGUAUGAUGAGUCUCUGUAACGAAUACAGUGAAAUAAUUAACGUAACCAUGUCAGGGUCAAUGCUUAAGACUAUCUGAAUAGAAUGAGAUAUAGUUAAGUUUACCGUCAUUAUUAUAUUUGAGCAACAUAUAUAAUCUACGCUGGUUUGAUGAAAUAAAUAAAUAAAUAAACAAAUCUUUCUAUUUUGUGACGUCCUUUAAAUUAAAUGAAAUGAAUUAAUAAUCCAGCUACCUUUUGUUAGCUUCAAGUAAGCAGUAUUAAGUAGUAUUAAGAAUGUCAAAUUACAUGUUCUACAUAGAUAGACGAUUAAUAAAUAAAUCAUCAACUAAACUUUAAUUCAAUACACAUUGUUAAAAAAAAUACAUUAUAAGUUUCAAAAUUGUUAUUCCAUAUUUUGUGACACGUUUUUUUCAGAACCGUAUUAAAUCUGGAAUGACACGCUAUUUGUAAAAACUCUCAUUAAUCUGUUUUAUUCUUCGGAUGAUAUUUUGCAACAACAUCUUUCACAAUCUUGAAGUCUGCGUUGACUAAUUCAAUAAUUCUUUAUUAUCAUGUUCAAACCAUCAUUUGUCGCCAUAAAUCAUAGUAUCUGGUCGGUUGUGGUGGGUCAAGAGAUCGAUCAGUGCGAUUCUAAUACGGUCAUUAGGGUGGCAGUGAAAAUGAUCAUGUCAAAUUUCAAAAACCGAUCAUGUACAUUUUGUUUAUAGGCUCCAAAAAAAUGACCUUUGCAAAAUGUCAACUUCAAUAAGCUGACAUUAAGGACAUUAUUUUUAGAUCCAGAAGGUCGACCAAAUUUUUUUUUUCGGUUAUGAUUUUUAAGUCAUUUUGCAUCGAAAACAAAGAAAACAAAGCCCCAAAAAUAAUACCCAAUUGAGCUGAAAUUUGCACAGGUCAUUUUUUGGGCCAAUAAACAAAAUGUACAUGGUCGGUUUUUGAAAUUCGAUGAUGAAAUUUUUGCCACCCUAACGAUCAUUUUCCAGGCGGGAGCGAACAUACCGGUUGAAACUUCUUUGUUAUAGACUCUUAUGGCAUAUCUAAUGACCCCGUUGUGCACCCGUGACCGAGUGGUUAGCGUCUCACAUUAUCAUGCCGGGUGUUCGGGUUCGAUUCCCGUUCUGUCCGAAGGAUUUUUCGUAAAAAGAAAAUUCCUCCGACUUGCACUGUGGUCACGCGUAUUCAAGAGCUUGCCCCUCGGAAUACAUUCAAGGCGUGUUACUUGGCUUAAGAAAUCUCAACUAAGUAUUAAUAAAUGACGCUAGUUAAUGCACACGUUGAGACGGCAAAAGUUCCACAGGGAACGUUAACGCCAUUCAAGAAGGCAUAUCUAAUGAAGUACUAAUAACACAAAAUUUUUGAUUCAACACUGACUACUUUACGGUUCUCACGUGCUCCCGUGGCCGAGUGGUUAACAAUUCACUGUUUGUUAGAUUUUUACACGGAUUUUGAAAUUUACACAGUUUAUUUUUACGCGGUUUUUUAUACGCGGCACGUAUCCCCCACGCAAAAAGCGACUCCAGUGUAUAUUGAGUCCGCAAACUCCCAAAAUCAAUGAAGCUGAAUUAGUAGGAUAUCAAUCCGAGUGAUUUGCUCGUCACGUACGACAUGAAUUGUGAACCAAAGAUAUGACAGACAACUUCAUUGGUGCUGAUAUACCGGCCAAUUUGUUGGCACAUUAUUUCGUCAUUGUCAUUCAAUCGAUAAGUAAUCACAUCGAUAUUCUGAAUUUGAAACACAGCCAUAUUGCUUCCCUUAUUCACGAACUUCUAUUUGUAUUUACUGCUUUUCGCCGAACAGUGGAACUCAACAUUAAUAUGAACAUUGAAAAUUUUGCUCAGCUAAGGCGAAUACGAUACUAGUCAAUGUUUGCCAGUCCGUCAACGUCAACGUUACUGAUAUUCAUCAAUGGUUGUCCGUCUAUUCGUUUUUAUAUUGGACAUUCACCUACCUUUGUGAUCGCGUUUUCCAUCUGCAACGCAAAGCGGUAAAACGUUGAAACUCGUUAAUCCAAUUUUUGACGGUCGCCAUCGAAGGAGAAGAGUUACCGUAUACAGUAUCCAAGGGCUCUUUAAUUUCGCUGUGCGGUUUCCCUACCAAAAACAAGAAUCGAAUCACCGACCGAUAUUGCUUUUUUUCAUUUUUCUAAAAUCCGCGGACACGCACGCUUCCACACACGGUCAAAACAAAAGUACGAGUCCGAUUCGACUGAAAUUUUGACAGUAGCCGUUUACGAGAAUGUUACAUUUAGUUACAUUUUUCGUAGAGUGUCAUCCCUAUAUAGAAAUUAAAGACAUAGUCCUUUAUCAAAAUGUAACCCUCUUAUUUUUAUAGAUAGAGGUAAACAUAGUUCUACAGGGUUUUCCAACUUUGAAUUCCGAAAGUAAAUUGAAAUAAAACACACUUAGAAUUCGAAUUUCGAUGAAACUUUUAAUUCAAAUUAAAGUUUGGUUUAUGCCAUUAUGUGUGAAAUACAACAUCAUUCAAAUGUUCACCUAGGGCUUCCUUGCACACCUUGAUCCGGAACAGGUAAUUUUCGAUAACUUUUCGGCACAUAUGGGGCGGUAUCUCGGUCAUAAAUUCACGAAUGUUGUCUUUCAAAUGUUCAAGAGUUUGCGGAGAGUUGGCAUAGACACGGUCUUUCGCAUAACCCCACAAAAAAAGUCUAGCGGGUUCAAAUCGUAUGAUCUGGACGGCCAAUUGGCAUCACCAAAACGCGAAAUUAUACGUCCCUCAAAUUUUGUUCGCAAUAUGGCCAUGUUCGGUCGUGUUGUGUGGCACGUGGCGCCGUCCUGCUGAAACCACAUGUCAUCCGUAUCCAUAUCUUCAAUUUGUGGCAAAACAAAAUCGGUUAACAUGCGGCCAUAGCGCUCACCAUUCACAGUUACCGUCUCGCCGUCCUCAUUUUCAAAGAAAUACGGCCCGAUGAUUCCACCAGACCAUAAUUCGCACCAAACAAUGACUUUUGGCGGAUGCAAUGGCCUCUCAACAAUCACGUGUGGAUUUUCUGAGCCCCAUAUACGGAAAUUUUGGGUGUUUACAUAGCCACCGAGCUCGAAAUGUGCCUCAUCGCUGAAGAAAAUUUGAUGCGAAAAUUUAGCAUUUUGCUGCUGUUGUUCGUUCACCCAAUCGACGUAUGCCCGACGCAUUCCAUGGUCACCAUGCUCUAAUUUUUGUACCAGUUGGUCUUUAUAUGGAUGAAGGUGCAAGUCCAAAUGCAAAAUUCACCACAAUGAUGUGUUUGACAAGCCCAAUUGCUGAGCACGCCGUGGAAUCGAAACAUUUGGGUCAUACGGAUCCAGUUUGUUCGAAUUUACGCACUACAUUAGCGAUUGUGUGCUCUGUAGGCCGUCCGUCCGUAAUGCUCGAAAAACAUUUGCCGGUUUUUCAUCAUUUUUAUAGUAUAAUUUAACAAAAUUAACACGUUGUGUGAUGCUAAAACGAUCCAUAUUGUAAAAUGGCAGACAUUCAACUAACGAUAUGACGCUUUGGUUGACAGCUAUGUCAAACGGUUGUCAGCUCAGGGCUGUAUACUUUAGGAAGCCCGAAAUGGAAAACCCUGUACAAUCUAAUAGCCUCAGUUAUUUGAGACUUCUUUGUAGAACAAAGUUUUGUUCUAUCUCUUGAAAUAACCGAUAUAGGACUUUUUUUCUAAGUUGCGUUAGAGUCACUAUGAAUAAAACUGUUUUUUUUUGUUCGAACUUUUAUAUUUCAAAUUCUACAUGCAAGCUGUCUUCAAAAGGCUUUCAGAACUUAAUAAUACAACCAUUUUGCGAUGCAGAACUUGUCAAUGGACCCUAUUAGAGAAAUCGAAUCGAUUACAAUCACUAUCACUAUCACACCGAGUAAAAUAUGGGAUUAUAGAAAUCGAAGAAAAUAGCUCGAUUCGUUACUCUUGCUCGAAGUCAGCGGUGGUACUGAAAUAUUUUGAAACGAUUGUAGUGUAGUAAAAAAAAAGAAAAUUGCUAGAAAAUGUAACGUACUAAUAUACGCUAGCAGCAGUAAGCAAUUUUUAGGUAGGAAAUUCGGUUGAAAGAAAUUCAAAGAGUAUGAUAAAAUUUACUUAUGAAAGUUAUAUGUAUCGUAGAAGAAACACUUACUUUCUGCCAUUCUGAACCAAUGCGCAUUGGUGGUCUCAGUGCAUUAAGCUCCUCUUUGAAUUCCACUAACUUUCGCUUCACCGGGAUCAUAUUAGAAUUGCCUCCACAGAAACCUCGAGCAAUGUCUACAUUCGCUUUCAAUGGUUCAACGAGCCGUUCAAACUGGUGGUGAUUUGUUUUUUUUUGACGUAGGACUACGUCUUUCAUUUCUAUACCGGGGUGUAAAAUCAAAGUUUCGAAAACGAAAGCGUUACGCCGGAGACCGAGAUUUUGAGCGUUAAUAGCUCCUAAACAACUGAACGAAAUGGUAUGAUAAACACUUCAUUCGAAAGAUAAAAUGUCUACGCGUUCUAUACUUGUUACUUUUUGAUCCAAAAACUUGUUUCAAUAGUCUUAAAAUUGCUUUCAAAACAGGCUAUUGAAAUCACCAAUCGGUAUAUAAGCGAGCGCCGCUCGGAAAUCAACUCAGUUCUAAUUGAACAGCGAUUGGAGCAUGUUGUCGCUGUUGUGGUGAAGCUCUUCAUUUAUCAUGAAAGCGCGGAUGAACGGUGUCACCAAGAGCCUGUUUGUGCACUUUAGGCCAGAAGGGAAUCCAUCAGGAGGAGAGUGAUGCCACAAACGGUUCCCCGGGAAGACAUCGCUACACACACAUACACGCGCGGAAUUCUUUCCGUUUGGAUGCCAUUCAGCAUUGAGAAAGUUCCAGAAAGAUCUAAUCUUUUCUGGAAAACAAUCUGCCAGUUUCUCUGGGAAUUUAAAAAUACAUUCAUGUGAAAGAGUUUAUUUGAAUGUUUUCUAUCCAUGUCACACUGUGACCAAAUAUUUUUCAAUCAAGUACUAUUAACAGGUGGUUAUCGAGUUAGUAUUAACCACUGGUGGGCUUCCAGUAUCGAGGAAAAUGUGGAAAUAUCUAAUCGUUACUGAAAAUAAUCUGCCAGUUCCUCUGGGAAUUUAAAAAUACAUUCAUGUGAAAGAGUUUAUUUGAAUGUUUUCUAUCCAUGUAACACUGUGACCAAAUACAUUUGGUUUUGUGAUUUUUCAAUCAAUCGCAAUUAACAGGAUAGCUUCAGAAGAUUAUUCUUCCCCAUCAGUAGGAUAUUUCCGUAUCCAAUAUUGUAUGCGCCCGCAAUCGAUUAUUACUCAGUCGCCGAAAGUUCCGAGCUCAGAGAGUUCAUUCCCCUCUAGUUUGCCUUCCAAAUUGCCAUCGUAAACCACACUUUCUCUCGAUUCAAUCACACACAAAAAGCAUACUUAAGCGAUAUUCUGGUGGUGAGACACAUUCAUUUUCAGGCAUUCUUUGUGUGGACACCGACUGGACAACAUCGUUGCUGGACGGGCUGGACGGCGAGGAAUCGAGUGCCUUUCUCAAGGCAAGAGGGUGGAGGUGGUAGCGCUGGAGUAGAGUAGAGUUUUCAAAGGGCCUUUCUCAAGGCUAGAGAGGAAUGAACUGCAAAUGUUUAAAGUCUCUAUAAUACAAGACCUUCCUUUUUUGAGACACAUUCAUUUUUCGUGAGGACAUCGACAAGACAACAUCGUUGCCUAACGUGCUGGAGGAGGUGGACGGCGAAGGAUCGACACAUACAUGCGCAGAAUUCUUUCCGUUUGGAUGCCAUUCAGCAUCGAGAAUGUUCCGGAAAGAUCUAAUCAUUGCUGGAAAAUAAUCUGCCAGUUCCUCUGGGAAUUCAAAAAUACAUUCAUGUGAAAGAGUUUAUUUGAAUGUUUUCUAUCCGUGUAACACUGUGACCAAAUAUUUUUCAAUCAAGUAUCGAGUUAGUAUUAACCACUGGUGGGCUUCCAGUAUCGAGGAAAAUGUGGAAAUAUCUAAUCGUUGCUGGAAAAUAAUCUGCCAGUUCCCCUUGGAUUUGAAAAUUACAUUCAAGCGAAAGAGUUUAUUUUAAUGUUUUCUAUCCAUAAAAUAUCCAUAUAAUACAUUUGGGUUUGUGAUUUGUCAAUCAAGUACAGUUAGCAGGUUAGCUUCAGAAGAUUAUUCUUCAGAACAAGGUUUUUCGUAUCCUAUAUUGGAUGCAUAAAACCUUGUGCCUCCAACGUAACGCUCUCGUUUUCGAAGUCCCCCAAAUAUUCAUUUAUUCAUUCAUUCAGAAUGGAUUUAGAUUCAACUUCGAACAAAUGAUCUCUAAAUCAACGAUAGUCCUAUGUCACCCUUGCGGUUAUACCAUAGAUAUAACCCACUUCCUGUUUUUUUGACGUAGAACUACGUCUUUCAUUAAGGGUGCCAAAUCAGAAAACAGGUCACGUUUUUAUGAAAUAAAGUUAACGUUAAUAACUAUUUUUGCCGCGAACGGCGAUGGCGAUUUACAUAUCAAACGAAUCGAAAAUUCCCUAAGAUUUGUUUGAUAUGCUAUACAAUACGAUUUCCUGGUGUGUAAAUUUUUUUUUUUCUUUAUUUUUGAGACUUUCAGCCUCCUGGGCUGGUUCGUCUCAGUUGGUGUGUAAAUGGUUAAAAUUCAUGAAAACUAUAAACGUUUCCAUUCCGCCAUACAUAUGUUCUGGUGAUUUGCGAACAUUUCUACCCGUGUCGUCAAUAACGAGCAACGAAGUGGAAAUCGUAAGAUUUAAAGUGAACAGAGGAAAAGAAGAACAAUGAAGGGAAAUAUUUGCCUAGAGUAUUCGCGUCAUCGAAGGUACGGUGUCGCUACCUAUGAAAGUUUCGCGUGUGAGUGAAAAAUAUGUAAACAAACCGUUGCAUAUUUUCUCUGUAAUUAAUAUUCUGAUUUCUCGAAAACUUGUACCGUGUUUAUCUUACAAUUAGUGGAAAUUGUUGAAAAAUAGUUUUUCUUAGCUGUUUCGAUGUUCCGAACCAAAAUUUAUUGCCAUUUAGUAGUGAAAAAAAGCCGUUGAAGUACACCCUCUGUCAAUCUACCUGCGAGAGAGAACGUGUGAAAUAUGGACGUCAAAAGCUGCGCAAAUUGUCCGGAGAACAUGCAAGUCGGACGAAAUUUGCUUGAAGCUGACUCCGAACAAUCUGCAAAAUUCAAAAGCCGUUUCGUUUGUGUCGUCCCCGGAUGUAAGCAGAGAUAUCGCCCCGGAAUUUCUUUUCAUGCCUUCCCUCCGAAAACGGACAAAACGCGGUAUCUAGACUGGAUCCAACGACUACGGCUAAAGGUAGAACCUACAAAAACCUCCCGUAUUUGUAGCCUCCAUUUCACCGUGUCGAACUUCUACUCCUAAGUCAACAAGCUGUGCCACUGAUCGCUUAAUUCUUAGGCCAUCAGCAGUUCCCGACUUGAAUUUGCCACAACCUCCCAUCAGCGAAGCCAGGAAAAGACUUAUUGAGGGCCGUGCUGAACGUGCUGCAAACCGUGCCAAAGUUGGGGCAGCGAUGGACCAGAGACAUGAUACACCAAACCUUUCAGAUCUUGCCAUCAGAGGCGAAUUAAUUACUUAUGAUUCAAAACACGUUAUUGCGCAUUUUGCACCAAGUUGGACUGUUUCGGCCUUUUCCAUAAGUGCGAAAAUACGAAUAAAAGUGCGCUCUAACAUCGAAUCAUAUUGGUGUCUUCAGCGCACUUAUUCUUCGAUUGAUAACGAAUAAGUGCGCUGAAGACAGCAAAUCGAUUUGAUGCAAGGUCGCACUUUUAUUCACAUUUUCGCACUUUUGAAAAAGUGUGAAACAGUUCAACUUGAUGCAAAAUGUGCAAUAAUAAAGAAAUAAAAUAAAACAUACUUAAGCAAAUGAUACAAAACAGCCAUGACGUGUUUGCACUUCCCUUUGCCAGCUUUACAGGAACACGAAAACAACCAUUUGGAGAAGGAGAUUUUCGUACGAAUUUUUAUUGUAUGGGGUUCCGAGCUUGGAGAUGAUGACUGGAGGCAGGACGAGAAAAUACUGAAGCCUUCAUCGUGAACUUCUUCAACACCAACUAUUAAAAGAUGUCCAGCUUUGAAUACUCUUUCGCCUUCGACGACUAAACGGCUUCCACCCGCAGCGUAAUCGAACACAUCCGCAAACUCCACAGCCAC
Molecule: long non-coding RNA, 11659 nt
Organism: Toxorhynchites rutilus septentrionalis
Lineage: Eukaryota; Metazoa; Arthropoda; Insecta; Diptera; Culicidae
Exons: 3
Source: RefSeq, a predicted model, not a curated record